This 67-nucleotide transfer RNA is filed under the name Camelidae sp. PDM-2021. RNAcentral's name for it is "tRNA-Asp". Lineage: Eukaryota; Metazoa; Chordata; Mammalia; Artiodactyla; Camelidae. The record is from RNAcentral.
AGAGGUAUUAGUAAAAUUUACAUGACCUUGUCAAGGUCAAAUUAUAGGUGAAAACCCUAUAUACCUC